AGCUUUGUGCAGUGGCAGUAUUGUAGCCAAUGAGGCUUAUCCAAGGCAUGAUUACUGCUAAUAUAUGAAUUCAGUACUUGACUCAAUUUAGAAAAAGUAAUAAAGCA
Molecule: small nuclear RNA, 107 nt
Gene: U4
Rfam family: U4 spliceosomal RNA
About the family: U4 small nuclear RNA (U4 snRNA) is a component of the major U2-dependent spliceosome. The structure of U4 snRNA from yeast and human has been reported. U4 snRNA presents a k-turn RNA motif in the 5p-SL related to recognition of Snu13 protein.
Source: Ensembl